This 433-nucleotide transfer RNA is filed under the name Schistosoma mansoni. The record is from RNAcentral. Lineage: Eukaryota; Metazoa; Platyhelminthes; Trematoda; Strigeidida; Schistosomatidae.
GCUAGCAGUGGAAUCCAGGACGCGCGUUUCGGACUCGUCAGCUGGAUGUACCUGCAUCUCAGAGUUAAUGUUCACUCUGGGACUCGAACCCAGUAACUUUCGCUCCAAACGCCAUCGCGUUAUCCACUCGGCCACUGAGUCCUGAUAGUCACUUGCUUGUGCAAUGGGGUGAAGUUGAAAUUUACUUAGUAUUGUUUGUUUGGAUCUUCCCAUUGAUGCUUUUAGGACUGCAACUGGUCAGCGAACAUCAAGAUGCAGGUACAUCCAGCUGUGUAGUCCCAAUAGGACGAAACGUGCGUCAAACUGGAUUCCACUGCUAGCCACUAUCCAUCUUUGCUUACCGUGCUUGUGGAUUUAGGCUAUAUCGAAGCAAUACGCACAGUAUGCACAUAUGCCAAUUAGAGACUGAUCAGUCGCAGUCCUAAAAACAUCA